AUGCGGCGGCAGCUGCCUGCCGAGGAUCUUGCACUCAAACGGCUGCAGGACCGAGAUGUCGACGAGCUCGUCCGCGGACGCAAUCGCCUCGUGCCGUCCUUGCCUGUAGAGGUGCUCGAUGCACAGCAAGGCGAACGCACCAAAGCCGUGGAAGAUGUAGCAGGGCACGCCGAGGUUUCGUGUCAUGGGCAGCGUCCACGUGUGGCACAUCCCGGAGACGAUGCAGCUCGGCCGGCGUGGCGCGUCCCGAAGGCAGUACUGCUCCACCGCCUCGCCGAACUUCUUGUUGGCCUCGAAGAAGCCAGGCACCAUGGCGGGGGACGUGAUCAGGUCCAACCUCUCGCACCCCUCCGGCAGGCCGGCUUCGGCGGCCGGGAAGGGGAUCGUGGUGACCGCGAGCACCGCGCCGUCCAGGGUGACACGGUCGACGCGGCUCUGGACAAGCGACGCGUUGGCGGGCGUCGUGAUGAUGGCGACCGACGCUCCAUGGGAGGCGAGAAGGCAGCCGAUGUCCGUCAUGGGGACGAUGUGGCUGAUGCUUCCUAUCCAUGGGACGAGCACAAAGUGAGGCUUUCUGGCGGUCUCCAUUGCCUGUUACUGUGCUGCACUAUGGUGUCCACAAAUUCGACAAAGUUGGGUAUGACUGAAAAUUAUGAGAUGGGAAAUAUGGCUCUUAGUUUGUGUGUGACGAACUGCUGGGUAGGAUCUUGUUAUAUAUGCAGGUUUAUGGGCUGCGACCGGGUGUGCGUGCAUGGUACGAGGCCGUGUCGACACAUUGCUGCGCAGUGCGCACACAGAGGACGAAAAAAAAUUAGAGUGUGGUGA
This 825-nucleotide ribosomal RNA is filed under the name Triticum aestivum (bread wheat). Its description in RNAcentral is "partial small subunit ribosomal RNA". Lineage: Eukaryota; Viridiplantae; Streptophyta; Magnoliopsida; Poales; Poaceae. The record is from RNAcentral.